RNAcentral lists this unclassified non-coding RNA (345 nucleotides) under soil metagenome. RNAcentral's name for it is "partial contains 5.8S ribosomal RNA, internal transcribed spacer 2, and large subunit ribosomal RNA". The stretch from base 1 to 119 matches the Rfam family "5.8S ribosomal RNA", at positions 35 to 154 of the family's 154-position model. The record is from RNAcentral.
GAUGAAGAACGCAGCGAAAUGCGAUACGUAAUGUGAAUUGCAAAUUCAGUGAAUCAUCGAGUCUUUGAACGCACAUUGCGCCCCCUGGUAUUCCGGGGGGCAUGCCUGUCCGAGCGUCAUUGCUGCCCUCAAGCACGGCUUGUGUGUUGGGCCCCGUCCUCCGAUCCCGGGGGACGGGCCCGAAAGGCAGCGGCGGCACCGCGUCCGGUCCUCGAGCGUAUGGGGCUUUGUCACCCGCUCUGUGGGCCCGGCCGGCGCUUGCCGAUCAACCCAAAUUUUUAUCCAGGUUGACCUCGGAUCAGGUAGGGAUACCCGCUGAACUUAAGCAUAUCAAUAAGCGGAGGA